AGUGAACGCUGGCGGUAGGCCUAACACAUGCAAGUCGAACGGCAGCACAGUAAGAGCUUGCUCUUACGGGUGGCGAGUGGCGGACGGGUGAGGAAUACAUCGGACUCUACUUUUUCGUGGGGGAUAACGUAGGUAAACUUACGCUAAUACCGCAUACGACCUACGGUUGAAAGCAGGGGAUCUUCGGACCUUGCGCGAUUGAAUGAGCCGAUGUCGGAUUAGCUAGUUGGCGGGGUAAAGGCCCACCAAGGCGACGAUCCGUAGCUGGUCUGAGAGGAUGAUAAGCCACACUGGAACUGAGACACGGUCCAGACUACUACGGGAGGCAGCAGUGGGGAAUAGUGGACAAUGGGCGCAAGCCUGGUACAGCCAGACCGCGUGGGAGAAGAAGGCCUUCGGGUUGGAAAGACCUUUUGUUGGGAAAGAAAAGCAGCAGGUUAAUACCCCGCUGUUCUGACGGUACCCAAAGAAUAAGCACCGGCUAACUUCGUG
Molecule: ribosomal RNA, 492 nt
Filed under: uncultured bacterium
Lineage: Bacteria
Description: partial 16S ribosomal RNA
Rfam family: Bacterial small subunit ribosomal RNA
Source: RNAcentral